RNAcentral lists this long non-coding RNA (662 nucleotides) under Anas platyrhynchos platyrhynchos (common mallard). RNAcentral's name for it is "lncRNA (ENSAPLG00000030709.1)". Lineage: Eukaryota; Metazoa; Chordata; Aves; Anseriformes; Anatidae. The record is from RNAcentral.
CUUAAUCACAUGCUUUUCUAAACAAAAACCUCAAACUUCCUAAUUUUUCAUGUUGAAAUCAUUCCUAGUACAUCCUGGACUCCAACCCUUCCCUUCUUCUUCACUGGAGACCCUUAUUUUCUUUAAAACUUACUGAUUUUUUUCCUCUGGUUCUUUUCACUUUAAAAAGACAUGCAAGAUACUUUUGUUUCAUGAAAGUUACAAGCAGUGUUGCUGUUUAAAAUGUGCUACAAGCUCCUUGAGCUCAGCUAAUAAAGGCCACAGAAUGAAAGAAAGUUAAAUAUGAAUGUAAGAGGAGACCUAAAUGAAGGGCUAGCUUGUACAUCUCACAGAUGACCUUCUGGAAAUGAGCAAGUGGAAAAUCCUUUUUAAAGCAAAUGGGAAUAGCUCUAUGAGAAGAAGCCGUUUGCUCUGUCCUUUCCCCAAGACUAAUGAAGAGCCACUCAACAUCUUCUUCCCACCUCUGUGGCAAUUGGGUAUCAUCCUUCCUUGCCUUGCAGAGGAGCAAGUGCCGAGUAGGCAGCUACCCCAAAACGCAUUGAACAGAGGAACACAGCAGUCCGAAUAACAGUCUGCAUAUUCUCAUUUUACCAGAGUAUUCCUACGUCUCCUAUGAUACCUGCUGUUCAUAAAAUGUUACCUCAAGAUACCUGGAAUAACCC